RNAcentral lists this ribosomal RNA (468 nucleotides) under uncultured bacterium. Its description in RNAcentral is "partial 16S ribosomal RNA". It matches the Rfam family "Bacterial small subunit ribosomal RNA", at positions 28 to 507 of the family's 1533-position model. The record is from RNAcentral.
GACGAACGCUGGCGGCGUGCUUAACACAUGCGAGUCGAACGGAAAGGCCCUGCUUUUGUGGGGUGCUCGAGUGGCGAACGGGUGAGUAACACGUGAGUAACCUGCCCUUGACUUUGGGAUAACUUCAGGAAACUGGGGCUAAUACCGGAUAGGAGCUCCUGCUGCAUGGUGGGGGUUGGAAAGUUUCGGCGGUUGGGGAUGGACUCGCGGCUUAUCAGCUUGUUGGUGGGGUAGUGGCUUACCAAGGCUUUGACGGGUAGCCGGCCUGAGAGGGUGACCGGCCACAUUGGGACUGAGAUACGGCCCAGACGCCUACGGGAGGCAGCAGUGGGGAAUAUUGCACAAUGGGCGGAAGCCUGAUGCAGCAACGCCGCGUGCGGGAUGACGGCCUUCGGGGUGUAAACCGCUUUCGCCUGUGACGAAGCGUGAGUGACGGUAAUGGGUAAAGAAGCGCCGGCUAACUACGUG